Molecule: long non-coding RNA, 422 nt
Filed under: Zonotrichia albicollis (white-throated sparrow)
Lineage: Eukaryota; Metazoa; Chordata; Aves; Passeriformes; Passerellidae
Description: lncRNA (ENSZALG00000000241.1)
Source: RNAcentral
UAGAAAAAUAACUGUGUGAUAGACUCUGAGUUAACACAAACAUAGAUUUUCUUAUUUCUUUUCAGGUAACAAAGACUUCAGGAAUCCGCAGAAUACUUCAGCUAGCAAAAUAUAAAUUAUGUACCAGUACAUUAUCAACUGUUGUAUCCUAAAAUUUCUGGACAAGCCUUAUUGUGCCUAUAAACUUCUUUCAUAGGAAUAUGAACCAUCAUCUAAACAAUUUUGCUGGAAUAAAAGAGCAUUUGCUGAUUGAAAGCAGAGGACUGAUUCAAGAUGAAUCUUGGUGAGGUAUGAGAUGUGUUGUUACCAUAGUGAACAAAGAGCAGAGAGAAGGGCAAUGGGAAACUGAGAAUGGGAAAAUGAAGUUUUGCACUGGUGGUGUGAACUCACACAUCUCCAUGGAACUUCAGGUCUGUGAAUAG